UUAGAGUUUGAUCCUGGCUCAGGAUGAACGCUGGCGGCGUGCCUAACACAUGCAAGUCGAACGAGCAAAUACAUUUGAUUUCUUCGGAAUGAAGAUGUAGGCGCGAGUGGCGGACGGGUGAGUAACGCGUGAGUAAUCUGCCUCAUACAGGAGAAUAACACUAAGGAAUUGGUGCUAAUACUCCAUAAGCUCACAUUAUGACAUCAUAGAGUGAGAAAAGAUUUAUCGGUAUGAGAGGAGCUCGCGUCUGAUUAGCUAGUUGGUGGGGUAACGGCCUACCAAGGCAACGAUCAGUAGCCGACCUGAGAGGGUGAUCGGCCACAUUGGAACUGAGACACGGUCCAAACUCCUACGGGAGGCAGCAGUGGGGAAUAUUGCACAAUGGGGGAAACCCUGAUGCAGCAACGCCGCGUGAAGGAAGAAGUAUUUCGGUAUGUAAACUUCUAUCGACAGGGAAGAAACAAAUGACGGUACCUGAAUAAGAAGCACCGGCUAAAUACGUGCCAGCAGCCGCGGUAAUACGUAUGGUGCAAGCGUUAUCCGGAUUUACUGGGUGUAAAGGGUGAGUAGGCGGUCAUGCAAGUCAUAUGUGAAAUGUCAGGGCUUAACCUUGGCGCUGCAUAAGAAACUGUAUGACUAGAGUGCAGGAGAGGUAAGCGGAAUUCCUAGUGUAGCGGUGAAAUGCGUAGAUAUUAGGAAGAACACCGGUGGCGAAGGCGGCUUACUGGACUGUUACUGACGCUGAGUCACGAAAGCGUGGGGAGCAAACAGGAUUAGAUACCCUGGUAGUCCACGCCGUAAACGAUGAGUGCUAGGUGUUGGCCAGAGAUGGUCGGUGCCGCAGCAAACGCAAUAAGCACUCCACCUGGGGAGUACGACCGCAAGGUUGAA
This 891-nucleotide ribosomal RNA is filed under the name uncultured bacterium. RNAcentral's name for it is "bacterial SSU rRNA". It matches the Rfam family "Bacterial small subunit ribosomal RNA", at positions 1 to 898 of the family's 1533-position model. The record is from RNAcentral.